This is a long non-coding RNA of Columba livia (rock pigeon), 1760 nucleotides long. RefSeq lists it as uncharacterized. The transcript has 3 exons. The record is from RefSeq and is a predicted model, not a curated record. Lineage: Eukaryota; Metazoa; Chordata; Aves; Columbiformes; Columbidae.
GCGGUUGGAACGCUCUAACGGCCGCCGCGUGCCCCUCGGGCGGAAGGCGCCUUGACGAGGCUGCGCCCGCCAGGGUCCGGUCCCGGCGGUAACGGGCUGUGGGGCCGCCCUGUUACGCGUUCAGAAUCAUGGUCAGGAUUUGAGCUCUAAGGCAGACUCCAGUAACUGAAGGAGAUGAGGAGUUCUGCCUCUUCAUCUUCCUGAGUAUAUGUCUCGUGUUUCAGCACUGCCACCAGGGCAUGAAUAUUGGCUCUGCUUGAAGUGUUAACUUUUUGGUGCCAUACAGAUCGUAUCUGAGGUAUGCUUGAUAAUGUAUAGGUAUUCAAAUUGGAAAGCUCUGUCAAAGUAAGUUACUGUCUGUUGCAGACUUAUGCAGUAGCUACAUAAACUGUUUGUUAAGGUUAAUUUGGGCAAUGCAAGUACCGAAAUGUAUCUGGAAAAGCUACUUUGGAGUAUUAGGUGUACUGAAGGAUGAGGACUAUUUGUAUCCUAAUGUGGAAGGCAGAGCGAGCAUGCUCACAGUCAGAAGCCUGCAACUACUGUACUUAACAGCUAUAAAAUAUGAUGUUUUUCUUAGAAUCGUCUUAAAACCAUGGAAACUGAAUGAAGUGGAUACAGAUGAACAAAAAAGUCAGUUAACCAAGAGAGAAUAUCAUUACUAACACUGUAAUUUCGUGAUGAAUCUAAGCUGAGGCAGCUACUGGAGGAUGGAUUUUGCCUGCAGUUGGUGGUGUGUCUUCUGUGAUGUUCUUUUGCAGUUAUUUAUGUGGAUAUGCUUCCUUUUUAUAUUUGAGUUUUGUCUGGAGCUCCUUCAUCCAAUGAACUGCAGCAAAUGAUUGCAUUAAGACUGUCUCUAAUUUUUUUCUUUUGAGUUAAAUUGAACUUUGAGCUAUAAUCUUGCAUAUUUUGCUAUGUAGAUAUUAGAUUCUUGUGCAGGCAUGAGGAAGGGAAAGGAGCAGGAAAUAAGGAGCCAGGAAAAAGGUUUCUACAUUUUUUGUAACUGCACUAACUUAAAUUUUUGACAAGGUUAUGUCAUAAUAUGGUAAAUUCCUUCACUGCAGACAAAAAGCCUAUUUCCCUUUUUUGAGAAACCUAAAUUUAGCUUCUAGCUGAUACAGUUUUUACUGCUUGUUCCUAACUCUUAACAAAAAAAAAAGUACUCUUUGUACAGACUUCAACAAAUAUAUUUAGACUGAGAAAAUAUUUCUGUGAGAAAACAAAAAGCCCCCAAACUUCACACAUAACAGCAGUUUUUAUUCUAGUUAAUUUUGCAAAGUAACUCAGGCUCUCAAAAAUUCAUGUGGAUGUAUUGACAUAAGAACAGAAAAACUGGUGUCUAUGUAUCCUUUAGGUUAAUGAAACAAUAUAUUAUAUUAACUGCUGUUUUCUUGAAAGACUGAAGAGAACAAAAUAUAUAUUCCGAGAAGAUACGUGUUUUUUAUUUGUUUACCUUUCUUCGUGGGUAGAUUUUGUGUACAUGUGAUACAUUUUCAAUGAUAUGGUGUUAUCAUAAGCAAUGCCUGUCCUUGCCACUGUCUCCUUUACUGUAUCGCCCCAUUGGUUCUGUGCACAACCACACAAACACUUGCACCAUGCAUUCUGGUUAAGCAUCAGUUAUGAGUGAGAUGGGAGAUAAAUGGAUGGGUUUUUCUUAAUAUACUCAUGUUACACUCCAGUCAUGCUGAACUGACAUGAAUUCUAAAGCAUCAUCUUGGCUUGUUGUGACAGUGACAACGCCUGUUGUAAUUUGUACCUUGGGG